This 149-nucleotide small nuclear RNA is filed under the name Balaenoptera musculus (blue whale). RNAcentral describes it as "U1 spliceosomal RNA (ENSBMSG00010000644.1)". It matches the Rfam family "U1 spliceosomal RNA". Rfam says of the family: U1 is a small nuclear RNA (snRNA) component of the spliceosome (involved in pre-mRNA splicing). The record is from Rfam by way of RNAcentral. Lineage: Eukaryota; Metazoa; Chordata; Mammalia; Artiodactyla; Balaenopteridae.
GUACUUACCUGGCAGGAGAGAUACCAUGAUCACAGAGGUGGUUUUCCCAGGGUGAGGCUUAUACAUCCCACUCCUACAAUUUCCCCAAAAGUGGGAAACUUGACUGCAUAAAUUUUGGUAGUGGGGGACUGCAAUCACACUUUCCCCUA